UACGGGGGGGGCAAGCGUUGUUCGGAAUUACUGGGCGUAAAGGGUUCGUAGGUGGCCAACUAAGUCAGACGUGAAAUCCCUCGGCUCAACCGGGGAACUGCGUCUGAUACUGGUUGGCUUGAGUGCAGGAGAGGAACGCGGAAUUCCAGGUGUAGCGGUGAAAUGCGUAGAUAUGCGGAGGAACACCGAUGGCGAAGGCAAUCCCCUGGGCCUGCACUGACGCUCAUGCACGAAAGCGUGGGGAGCAAACAGG
Molecule: ribosomal RNA, 253 nt
Filed under: uncultured bacterium
Lineage: Bacteria
Description: partial 16S ribosomal RNA
Rfam family: Bacterial small subunit ribosomal RNA
Source: RNAcentral